RNAcentral lists this ribosomal RNA (504 nucleotides) under uncultured bacterium. Its description in RNAcentral is "bacterial SSU rRNA". It matches the Rfam family "Bacterial small subunit ribosomal RNA", at positions 15 to 507 of the family's 1533-position model. The record is from RNAcentral.
GAUCAUGGCUCAGGAUGAACGCUAGCUACAGGCUUAACACAUGCAAGUCGAGGGGAAACGACAUCGAAAGCUUGCUUUGAUGGGCGUCGACCGGCGCACGGGUGAGUAACGCGUAUCCAACCUGCCCACCACUUGGGGAUAACCUUGCGAAAGUAAGACUAAUACCCGAUGAUAUCCCUAGAAGACAUCUGAAAGGGAUUAAAGAUUUAUCGGUGAUGGAUGGGGAUGCGUCUGAUUAGCUUGUUGGCGGGGUAACGGCCCACCAAGGCUACGAUCAGUAGGGGUUCUGAGAGGAAGGUCCCCCACAUUGGAACUGAGACACGGUCCAAACUCCUACGGGAGGCAGCAGUGAGGAAUAUUGGUCAAUGGGCGAGAGCCUGAACCAGCCAAGUAGCGUGCAGGAAGACGGCCCUAUGGGUUGUAAACUGCUUUUAUAUGGGGAUAAAGUGAGUUACGUGUAGCUUAUUGCAGGUACCAUAUGAAUAAGGACCGGCUAAUUCCGUG